UACGGAAGGUGCAAGCGUUAAUCGGAAUCACUGGGCGUAAAGCGCUCGUAGGUUGCUUUGUAAGUCAGGUGUGAAAUCCCACGGCUCAACCGUGGAAUUGCACUUGAUACUGCAUUGCUUGAGUUCGGGAGAGGGUAGUGGAAUUCCAGGUGUAGGAGUGAAAUCCGUAGAGAUCUGGAGGAACACCGGUGGCGAAGGCGACUACCUGGACCGAUACUGACACUGAGGAGCGAAAGCGUGGGGAGCAAAC
Molecule: ribosomal RNA, 250 nt
Filed under: uncultured bacterium
Lineage: Bacteria
Also listed under: 1 other name
Description: partial 16S ribosomal RNA
Rfam family: Bacterial small subunit ribosomal RNA
Source: RNAcentral